UGAUGUACUGUCACAUGUAAACACUAGUUAUAUUAAUACACAUUAAUAUACUGUAUAGUUAAUGGUGUAUGAGGAGUAUGGUGUAUAGAGGAGUAUGUAGCUCGUGUGUGUAUAACAUAGUGUAGUUGGCGUCCUGCAGCGUGAGGUCAGACAUUACACGUGUCGUCCUAGUAACUGGUAGACUGUCAACUCAAGCUCUCCUCUCAGUCUAAGUGGAACUCUAUAUAUAUCUAAGAAACAAGAAGUAACUGUUAACUGUUACUGCCAGCUCAGUCUCUUCUCGGUCUAAAUGGAUAGCAGGAACAUCUAUCAGUAAACUCCUUUUAUACACGGAAUAAGGCAAUGUUUUGGGUUCUAUAUUGAAGUGUUUAACUCUAUCUAGUUUCUUGUACUGUACAUAGAGGAACGAGAAGUCUUCCUCGUGUGUGUGUGUGUGUGUGUGCCCUCGCCUCUCAUACUUAUGUAAAGACAGACCCACGCUGAUUCGGGUUGAAUGUUAUUAAUACCAGGUUUGGAUCGAAUGUAAACAACAGUUGAUGUAAACAACAAGUGAUGUAAACAAAUGAUAUAAACUUAUUAACUAUCUCUUAUUUUACUAUGCACUGUCAGGGUGCGGUGGAGGACACGGAGUGUUGACUGGUUGUUGCUUCUAUUAAUACACUGGUUCGAUCCCCUCCUUCCCUUCCUCUUUGUCUUGGCAUUAUCCACAAUUUGAUCUCUUCCACUCCUCCUUUUAUCUCUUCCUAUUCCUCCUCCUUAUCCUUUUUAUAAUCUUUUUCCUCCCCUCUUUUUCUUCGUUACAAUACACGACACAACAUGUUCCAACAUGUUACGACACGUCACGACGACACGACAUGUUCCGACAUGUUACGACACGUCACGACGACACGACACGACACGAAACGACACGACACGACAGGAAACGACAGAACACGACACAGAGACUUUCACACUCUGACCACUUGCUCUUUAACUCUCAUUUACAAUAAAUCUUUACUUUUAACUUGACAAAUUUGUGGGUUUAGAUGAACUGCUUCCAGGAACUGAUGUUUAUGUUGGUAACACUGAAACUCUAGGAACUGAUGUUUAUGUUGGUAACACUGAGACUAACUUAUGGUAGAGUUAUAAUAUAUAAAUAAAUAUUACUAAUUCUAAGGUUAAGUUUUAUACUAAUAUAAUUUUAAAUUAAUUAGGAUUAUAUAUUUCCAAAUCCGAUAUUUUUAGUAGGUAUAAUAAGUCUACCGUUUGUUACAUAGUGAUGUACUGUCACAUGUAAACACUAGUUAUAUUAAUACACAUUAAUAUACUGUAUAGUUAAUGGUGUAUGAGGAGUAUGGUGUAUAGAGGAGUAUGUAGCUCGUGUGUGUGUAACAUAGUGUAGUUGGCGUGCUGCAGCGUGAGGUCAGACAUAACACGUGUCGUCCUAGUAACUGGUAGACUGUCAACUCAAGCUCUCCUCUCAGUCUAAGUGGAACUCUAUAUAUAUCUAAGAAACAAGAAGUAACUGUUAACUGUUACUGCCAGCUCAGUCUCUUCUCGGUCUAAAUGGAUAGCAGGAACAUCUAUCAGUAAACUCCUUUUAUACACGGAAUAAGGCAAUGUUUUGGGUUCUAUAUUGAAGUGUUUAACUCUAUCUAGUUUCUUGUACUGUACAUAGAGGAACGAGAAGUCUUCCUCGUGUGUGUGUGUGUGUGUGUGUGUCCUCGCCUCUCAUACUUAUGUAAAGACAGACCCACGCUGAUUCGGGUUGAAUGUUAUUAAUACCAGGUUUGGAUCGAAUGUAAACAACAGUUGAUGUAAACAGGUUAUAUAAUCAGGUUCUGUAAACAGGUGAUGUAAACAUCUGAUGAUGUAAAUAACAGUUGAUGUAAACAACGGAUGAUACGCACAAAAGUUGAUGUAAACAGCAGAUGAUAUAAACAACAGGCGAUGUAAACAAAUGAUAUAAAC
Molecule: long non-coding RNA, 1950 nt
Organism: Homarus americanus (American lobster)
Lineage: Eukaryota; Metazoa; Arthropoda; Malacostraca; Decapoda; Nephropidae
Exons: 2
Source: RefSeq, a predicted model, not a curated record